This 424-nucleotide unclassified non-coding RNA is filed under the name soil metagenome. RNAcentral's name for it is "partial contains 5.8S ribosomal RNA, internal transcribed spacer 2, and large subunit ribosomal RNA". The stretch from base 1 to 120 matches the Rfam family "5.8S ribosomal RNA", at positions 35 to 154 of the family's 154-position model. The record is from RNAcentral.
GAUGAAGAACGUAGCGAAAUGCGAUAAGUAGUGUGAAUUGCAGAAUUCCGUGAAUCAUCGAAUCUUUGAACGCACAUUGCGCCUUCUGGUAUUCCGGAAGGCAUGCCUGUUCGAGAGUCAUUAACAACCGUUUCGAUCCCUUUCUUUCAGAAAUUACAAAGAGGAAAAGGGUUUGGUUAUGGUGGAGGAGGGAAAGGGAGCGUUUAGCCUGUAAAAAAAGAGGCUGUGUUCCGCCUCCCCCCCAAAAUUGUACAGGCGGUCGUGUGCGCCCACGCAUCGAGGUGUUGUAAAAGCUGCCACGGCACUUUUCACCUGUGCAGUGCGAGAUUGGCCAGCCGGUUUAAAAACCCCUCCAAACAAUCAAAGGUUGACCUCGGAUCAGGUAGGGAUACCCGCUGAACUUAAGCAUAUCAAUAAGCGGAGA